GGCGAGGGGUGGGGAGGAAAUAGCUCGAGGAGCGGCGUCCUCCUUUCGCUAACAGAGGCAGGGAAGGGGCCAGAGAGGAGGCGGCGGGCGGAGGAGGCAGAGGUGCCUACGGCGGAGAAGAAAGUGUCGGAGCCGGUUCGGCUUUAGAGUGUGGUGAAGGGUACUUUUCAUGGUGCAUGGAAGGAAAGCCAAUGCGCAGGUGUACCAACAUUCGACCAGGAGAGACUGGAAUGGAUGUAACAAGCCGCUGCACCCUUGGAGACCCCAACAAACUGCCAGAAGGGGUUCCCCAACCUGCCCGCAUGCCCUAUAUAUCAGACAAGCACCCUCGACAAACCUUGGAAGUGAUUAACCUUCUGAGGAAGCACCGGGAGCUGUGCGAUGUGGUGCUAGUUGUGGGCGCUAAGAAGAUAUAUGCCCAUCGAGUCAUUUUGUCAGCCUGUAGUCCCUACUUCCGAGCUAUGUUUACAGGAGAAUUGGCAGAGAGCCGUCAGACAGAAGUAGUGAUCCGAGACAUAGAUGAGAGGGCUAUGGAACUACUGAUAGACUUUGCAUAUACCUCCCAGAUAACUGUGGAAGAGGGCAAUGUUCAGACCCUUCUGCCAGCUGCUUGCCUCCUCCAGCUGGCAGAAAUACAGGAAGCCUGUUGUGAAUUCUUAAAGAGACAAUUAGAUCCUUCUAACUGCCUGGGUAUUCGUGCUUUUGCUGACACACAUUCAUGUCGUGAGUUGCUAAGGAUAGCAGACAAGUUCACUCAACAUAACUUUCAAGAGGUGAUGGAAAGUGAAGAGUUCAUGUUGCUUCCAGCCAAUCAACUCAUUGACAUAAUAUCUAGUGAUGAACUAAAUGUUCGCAGUGAAGAACAGGUGUUCAAUGCAGUGAUGGCCUGGGUUAAAUACAGUAUUCAAGAAAGACGUCCUCAGUUACCCCAGGUGCUGCAGCAUGUUCGUUUGCCUUUGCUUAGUCCCAAGUUCCUGGUGGGCACUGUAGGCUCUGAUCCUCUCAUCAAAAGUGAUGAAGAAUGCAGAGACUUGGUAGAUGAGGCUAAAAACUAUCUCCUGUUGCCUCAAGAACGACCACUAAUGCAAGGACCAAGGACAAGACCACGGAAACCUAUUCGAUGUGGAGAAGUGCUCUUUGCAGUUGGUGGUUGGUGCAGUGGAGAUGCCAUUUCCAGUGUUGAACGAUAUGAUCCACAGACCAAUGAAUGGCGGAUGGUAGCUUCAAUGAGCAAAAGGCGAUGUGGAGUCGGGGUCAGUGUUCUUGAUGACCUGUUAUAUGCAGUAGGUGGCCAUGAUGGAUCCUCUUAUCUCAAUAGUGUUGAAAGGUAUGACCCCAAAACAAACCAAUGGAGCAGUGAUGUGGCUCCUACAAGCACCUGCAGGACAAGUGUUGGUGUGGCUGUGCUUGGAGGCUUUCUCUAUGCUGUGGGUGGCCAGGAUGGAGUGUCUUGCCUCAACAUUGUUGAGAGGUAUGAUCCCAAGGAGAACAAAUGGACUCGAGUGGCUUCUAUGAGUACGAGAAGACUAGGCGUGGCUGUGGCUGUGUUAGGAGGGUUCUUAUAUGCUGUAGGUGGCUCUGAUGGGACAUCUCCACUCAACACAGUGGAGCGUUAUAAUCCUCAGGAAAACAGAUGGCACACCAUAGCCCCUAUGGGGACCCGGAGGAAACACCUAGGCUGUGCAGUGUAUCAGGAUAUGAUCUAUGCCGUAGGAGGUAGAGAUGACACUACAGAGCUUAGCAGUGCUGAGAGAUACAACCCCAGAACUAACCAGUGGUCUCCAGUGGUGGCUAUGACAUCCCGCCGUAGUGGAGUUGGCUUGGCAGUAGUGAAUGGACAGCUCAUGGCUGUAGGAGGUUUUGAUGGCACAACGUACUUAAAGACCAUUGAAGUUUUUGAUCCUGAUGCCAAUACAUGGAGGUUUUGAGAAGACUUCUAAGAGUACAUACAAAACAAAAGGAUAGAAAUCAGUAAUUGAAGUUUUGGCAAAAGGAAAAUGUUAUAUGGCGGGAUGAAUUACCGUCGGCUUGGGGGUGGUGUAGGAGUUAUAAAAAUGACACAUUGUGAAUCCCAUAUAUGGUGAACAUAUAGAAGACAGUCGUGUAUGUGCUCCUCUGUAUUCUGGAGAGCUUUGACUUUGGAGCUUUGUACAGCUCUAGAAAAUACUAAACAAAUUUUAUUCUUUGCCGGUGCCUCAACAUGUGUGAAUACAAAUACAGUGAAAGUACUUCACCUGCAAGAUGUCAGCUUUGCACAAUAAUUUUCAGUUCUGUGCAGAAGAAUAUUUAUUUUUGCUUUUAAUUUAUCAUGGGCUUUUUGUUGUUGGGUUUUUGGUUUUUUUGGUUUUUUGUUUUUGUUUUUGGAUUUAGCCUUCCUCCCAACAAAAGAAAAAAAUGAAAGACAAAAAAAAAAAAGACAAACAUUUUAAGCAGUAAAACUUAUUUUUAAGAUACUGAUUAAGUUUGAAGAAACUACUAAUAAGGGAAAAGGGCUAUAUUUGAUCUAGUUGUCAAUUCUAAGCACUCCAUCCACAAGACUCCACUAUUUACAGGGACUUACCAGUGACAAAGAUAGAUAUGUGAAGUGUAUUAGCCAUCAUUCGUGCACUAAGCACCAGAAGACUUGAAAAUCUAAAAAACAAAACAAAGGAAACAUCUCAUUUAACUAGAACAAUUCAAAAGGAAUAUUAAAUCAAUAAAAUGAGGACUCAGAUGCCAAAGUUUUCAUCAGUGGAAGCUCAUAUCUUGUUUCCUUCCAUAUGAAUUUGUUUGCCACUAUAUUUAAAGUCUUUUUUUUUUAAUAUUUUCAUAGAGUUUCUGCUACAUCUGCUCAGUGCCUCUACAAAAACAGUAUACGAUUCUCAUAUACUGUCUUGAGAAUCCCCCAGUAGAAUCAUGUGUAACUCUGCAAGUUUUUGCUCAAAAAACAUUACUGACUGAAGCAACUUUCUAUUUUCUGUUGCUACUAAGGACCAGCAGGGAGAAAUGUCCUCUCCCCAGCAGUGAAUACUGUUAUGCAGUUUACACUUAAUGCUCAGGCCUGCUGAAGCUGAGGCUUACCUGUCAUCACAGCCUCCAAGGGAAUGAAUUCUUCAGUUCGUGUAAUAGUAUGCUAACGAGUGUAAAAUCAGUUGAGGCAUUUUAUUGAUAAAAUCUUGGUUCUUUUAUAAGGAAAAUAUAUAUCAUUAUCCUCAUUCUAUAAAGCCACUAUUGCUACUGUUCUCAAAUUGCACUUUCUGGUAAGAAGUUAACAUUUUUAAGGAAAAAAAGGAUACAGCUUUCAGUGGUUAAAGUUUUUUGUUAUUGUGUUCAUAGACCAGUUUUUUUCAAUGUUAUCUUGCAGGAAAAUCUUUGAAUAAGACUUUAACCACAACCAAAAGGAAUAACCUUCUUCUCCCUCCCCUCACUAUAAAAAUGUUUGGCAACAUUUGUGUUUACAUUUAAAGAUCAUUUGCACCUUUACAAGGAAGAAAAAUAAGUAUUUGGUAAGCAAUUGUUUACGUGUAUCAUUUAUGCUUUUUUCUAGCAUGUAUAACUUUUUAAAAUAAAGGUAGUACUUACCAUAAAAAA
Molecule: RNA transcript, 3570 nt
Organism: Hippopotamus amphibius kiboko
Lineage: Eukaryota; Metazoa; Chordata; Mammalia; Artiodactyla; Hippopotamidae
Gene: KLHL20
Gene name: kelch like family member 20
Exons: 13
Source: RefSeq, a predicted model, not a curated record